UUCUUUGCCUGGAGGUUGUAAUGGUCCGUACAGUAUUAUGUAAGAGGAAUGUUGGAGGUAAGAGACUAACGGUGGAGCACAAAGUUUCAUUCGAAAGUACACGCUAAACCUUACCAUGC
This 119-nucleotide ribosomal RNA is filed under the name Isospora manorinae. Its description in RNAcentral is "small subunit ribosomal RNA". RNAcentral also lists the same sequence under 1 other name. Lineage: Eukaryota; Apicomplexa; Conoidasida; Eucoccidiorida; Eimeriidae. The record is from RNAcentral.